GUGCCAGCAGCCGCGGUAAUACGGAAGGUCCGGGCGUUAUCCGGAUUUAUUGGGUUUAAAGGGAGCGCAGGCUGGGGAUUAAGCGUGACGUGAAAUGCCGCGGCUCAACCGUGGAAGUGCGUCGCGAACUGGUUCCCUUGAGUGCGAACACGUGGGCGGAAUUCGUGGUGUAGCGGUGAAAUGCUUAGAUAUCACGAAGAACCCCGAUUGCGAAGGCAGCCCACGAGGCCGCAACUGACGCUAAAGCUCGAAGGUGCGGGUAUCGAACAGGAUUAGAUACCCUGGUAGUCCGCACGGUAAACGAUGGAUGCCCGCUGUAUGCGACAUACUGUAUGCGGCCAAGCGAAAGCGUUAAGCAUCCCACCUGGGGAGUACGCCGGCAACGGUGAAACUCAAAGGAAUUGACGGGGGCCCGCACAAGCGGAGGAACAUGUGGUUUAAUUCGAUGAUACGCGAGGAACCUUACCCGGGCUUGAACUGCAGAGGAAGGAUUGAGAGAUCAUGACGCCCUUCGGGGCCUCUGUGGAGGUGCUGCAUGGUUGUCGUCAGCUCGUGCCGUGAGGUGUCGGCUUAAGUGCCAUAACGAGCGCAACCCCUGCUGUCAGUUGCCAUCAGGUGAUGCUGGGCACUCUGGCGGUACUGCCACCGUAAGGUGUGAGGAAGGUGGGGAUGACGUCAAAUCAGCACGGCCCUUACGUCCGGGGCUACACACGUGUUACAAUGGGUGGUACAGAGCGUCGGCCGCUCGCAAGGGCGGUCCAAUCGUGAAAGCCAUCCUCAGUUCGGAUUGGGGUCUGCAACCCGACCCCAUGAAGCUGGAUUCGCUAGUAAUCGCGCAUCAGCCAUGGCGCGGUGAAUACGUUCCCGGGCCUUGUACACACCGCCCGU
Molecule: ribosomal RNA, 888 nt
Filed under: uncultured bacterium
Lineage: Bacteria
Description: bacterial SSU rRNA
Rfam family: Bacterial small subunit ribosomal RNA
Source: RNAcentral